GCUUUGAUUAAUAUACUAUUAAUAAAAUUGGAACAAUACAGAGAUUAGCAUGGCCCCUGCACAAGGAUGACAUGCAAAGUCAUGAAGCAUUCCAUAUUUUU
Molecule: small nuclear RNA, 101 nt
Filed under: Moschus moschiferus (Siberian musk deer)
Lineage: Eukaryota; Metazoa; Chordata; Mammalia; Artiodactyla; Moschidae
Source: RNAcentral